This 417-nucleotide ribosomal RNA is filed under the name uncultured bacterium. RNAcentral describes it as "bacterial SSU rRNA". It matches the Rfam family "Bacterial small subunit ribosomal RNA", at positions 355 to 772 of the family's 1533-position model. The record is from RNAcentral.
CUAGGAAUCUUGCGCAAUGGCCGAAAGGCUGACGCAGCGACGCCGCGUGGGGGAUGAAGGCCUUCGGGUUGUAAACCCCUGUUGCCCGGGACGAACACGCCUUUUCGAGGGCGCUGACGGUACCGGGUGAGGAAGCACCGGCUAACUCUGUGCCAGCAGCCGCGGUAAUACAGAGGGUGCGAGCGUUGUCCGGAAUCACUGGGCGUAAAGGGCGCGUAGGCGGUCCGCUAAGUGUGUGGUGAAAGCUCGGGGCUCAACUCCGAGUCGGCCGUGCAAACUGGUGGACUUGAGCAUGUCAGAGGCAGGCGGAAUUCCGGGUGUAGCGGUGGAAUGCGUAGAGAUCCGGAAGAACACCGGUGGCGAAGGCGGCCUGCUGGGACAUGGCUGACGCUGAGGCGCGACAGCGUGGGGAGCAAA